This 108-nucleotide small nucleolar RNA is filed under the name Echinops telfairi (small Madagascar hedgehog). RNAcentral's name for it is "Small nucleolar RNA SNORA61 (ENSETEG00000026853.1)". Lineage: Eukaryota; Metazoa; Chordata; Mammalia; Afrosoricida; Tenrecidae. The record is from RNAcentral.
AUGCUCCAGAUUCCGUACCCAUCAGAUCUAAACAUUGGUCUGAGUGGCUAUAAAAGGAGGAAACAUAAAACAGAAAUGAACUAGGAUUCUUUUCUAGUUCCAACAGAA